Schistosoma haematobium is the source of this 78-nucleotide non-coding RNA. NCBI's taxonomy places the organism in Eukaryota, Metazoa, Platyhelminthes, Trematoda, Strigeidida, Schistosomatidae. The record is from Rfam.
AGAUUUUCGAAUCGGUGCAGAGAUUUCAUCAGGCCCCAAUCCACUAGGUCUGAUCAGACUUUCAAGAUAAGUGAUUUU